AAAACCGACACAGGUGGGCGAGAUGAGUAUUCUAAGGCGCUUGAGAGAACUCGGGAGAAGGAACUCGGCAAAUUGGUACCGUAACUUCGGGAAAAGGUACGCCCUUGUAGCUUGGCUGAUUUACUUCAGUAGGGUGAACGGGUUGCAAUAAACUGGUGGCUGCGACUGUUUAAUAAAAACACAGCACUCUGCAAACACGAAAGUGGACGUAUAGGGUGUGACGCCUGCCCGGUGCUGGAAGAUUAAAUGAUGGGGUGCAAGCUCUUGAUUGAAGUCCCAGUAAACGGCGGCCGUAACAAUAACGGUCCUAAGGUAGCGAAAUUCCUUGUCGGGUAAGUUCCGACCUGCACGAAUGGCGUAAUGAUGGCCACACUGUCUCCUCCCGAGACUCAGCGAAGUUAAGUGUUUGUGAUGAUGCAAUCUACCCGCGGCUAGACGGAAAGACCCCAUGAACCUUUACUGUAGCUUUGCAUUGGACUUUGAAUCAAUCUGUGUAGGAUAGGUGGGAGGCUUUGAAGCGGUGACGCCAGUCAUCGUGGAGCCAACCUUGAAAUACCACCCUGGUCCAUUUGAGGUUCUAACCUUGGCCCGUUAUCCGGGUCGGGGACAGUGCAUGGUAGGCAGUUUGACUGGGGCGGUCUCCUCCUAAAGUGUAACGGAGGAGUUCGAAGGUACGCUAGGUACGGUCGGACAUCGUGCUAAUAGUGCAAUGGCAUAAGCGUGCUUAACUGCGAGACUGACAAGUCGAGCAGGUACGAAAGUAGGACAUAGUGAUCCGGUGGUUCUGUAUGGAAGGGCCAUCGCUCAACGGAUAAAAGGUACUCUGGGGAUAACAGGCUGAUUCCUCCCAAGAGUUCAUAUCGACGGGGGAGUUUGGCACCUCGAUGUCGGCUCAUCACAUCCUGGGGCUGUAGCCGGUCCCAAGGGUAUGGCUGUUCGCCAUUUAAAGUGGUACGUGAGCUGGGUUUAAAACGUCGUGAGACAGUUUGGUCCCUAUCUGCCGUGGGCGUUGGAAAUUUGAAGGGGGCUGCUCCUAGUACGAGAGGACCGGAGUGGGCAGACCUCUGGUGUACCGGUUGUCACGCCAGUGGCAUUGCCGGGUAGCUAAGUCUGGAAGAGAUAACCGCUGAAGGCAUCUAAGCGGGAAACUUGCCUUGAGAUGAGAUUUCCCAGAGCCUUGAGCUCUUUGAAGGGUCGUUCGA
Molecule: ribosomal RNA, 1202 nt
Filed under: metagenome
Description: bacterial LSU rRNA
Rfam family: Bacterial large subunit ribosomal RNA
Source: RNAcentral